This 600-nucleotide ribosomal RNA is filed under the name Rhodococcus sp. (in: high G+C Gram-positive bacteria). RNAcentral's name for it is "bacterial SSU rRNA". It matches the Rfam family "Bacterial small subunit ribosomal RNA", at positions 388 to 997 of the family's 1533-position model. Lineage: Bacteria; Bacillati; Actinomycetota; Actinomycetes; Mycobacteriales; Nocardiaceae. The record is from RNAcentral.
GCAGCGACGCCGCGUGAGGGAUGACGGCCUUCGGGUUGUAAACCUCUUUCAGCAGGGACGAAGCGUGAGUGACGGUACCUGCAGAAGAAGCACCGGCCAACUACGUGCCAGCAGCCGCGGUAAUACGUAGGGUGCAAGCGUUGUCCGGAAUUACUGGGCGUAAAGAGCUCGUAGGCGGUUUGUCGCGUCGUCUGUGAAAACCAGCAGCUCAACUGUUGGCUUGCAGGCGAUACGGGCAGACUUGAGUAUUUCAGGGGAGACUGGAAUUCCUGGUGUAGCGGUGAAAUGCGCAGAUAUCAGGAGGAACACCGGUGGCGAAGGCGGGUCUCUGGGAAAUAACUGACGCUGAGGAGCGAAAGCGUGGGUAGCGAACAGGAUUAGAUACCCUGGUAGUCCACGCCGUAAACGGUGGGCGCUAGGUGUGGGUUUCCUUCCACGGGAUCCGUGCCGUAGCUAACGCAUUAAGCGCCCCGCCUGGGGAGUACGGCCGCAAGGCUAAAACUCAAAGGAAUUGACGGGGGCCCGCACAAGCGGCGGAGCAUGUGGAUUAAUUYGAUGCAACGCGAAGAACCUUACCUGGGUUUGACAUACACCGGAAAG